Sapajus apella (tufted capuchin) is the source of this 823-nucleotide long non-coding RNA. RefSeq lists it as uncharacterized. The transcript has 2 exons. The record is from RefSeq and is a predicted model, not a curated record. Lineage: Eukaryota; Metazoa; Chordata; Mammalia; Primates; Cebidae.
GAGAGAGAGAGAGAGAGAGAGAGAGAGAGAGAGAGAGAGAGCUUAUUCCAGUAGGUUGCCCCCAGGGCAAGGAGAAAUAUAUAUUAUGUAAGGGCUAAAUUGAAAUUAAAGUUCCAGGUUGGCUUAAGGGAGGAGGAAAGUGGGCGUAACAGAGCAAGGUGGGGAGAUAAGAGGGUUGGGAACAUAGACAGACAGAAUUUGAUUGGACGAGCACACUCAUUAGGCAGAUACAAAUGGCCCCUGGAGCAGCUCCAUCCACAUUGUUCAUCCUUCUCCAGGGAGCAUGUGGCAAACCUGUCAGGCAGACACAGGAACAGGGGCUUUUGCUAAAACUUCACAAGAUGCAGCCAAUGAUGGAGACAUAAUGUCUCAUUCCAAGGAGUCAGAUGAAGUUGCACCAUUGGCCAAGAGGAAGAGGUAGUUAUAGCUGAAACCGAGCAUACUGGCCCUGUGUAUUGCGCACUCCACAUGCAGCUAUGAAAAGAAGGAGGCUCAGCGUGGUUAUGUAAUGUGCCCAAGGUCCCUCAGUUGACAAGCACUGAGGGACACUGGGUUUCAUCCGACUGCUCCCAAAAUUUGUUUUUUCUGCUGCUCCGUAUUUCCUCCCCUAGGGAGAUGGCAACUCUUCUAGAAUUUCUCUAUUAAAGGGAGGUGCUAGUGGAUAGUACAAAUGUUUUCCUGUGGAUACCAAAAGAAUGCUGUUUGUCUACUGCUGCCAAGGUCUUGUUUACUUAACUUUUCAAAUCCGAGCAAAAAAACAAAGAAAAAAGAGUAUGUUUUGCAAGUGGUUAUGAGAAUUCAAACCCUUACCUUAGUUCAAGUC